CGCCGCGUGAGUGAUGAAGGUUUUCGGAUCGUAAAACUCUGUUGUUAGGGAAGAACAAGUACCGUUCGAAUAGGGCGGUACCUUGACGGUACCUAACCAGAAAGCCACGGCUAACUACGUGCCAGCAGCCGCGGUAAUACGUAGGUGGCAAGCGUUGUCCGGAAUUAUUGGGCGUAAAGCGCGCGCAGGCGGUUUCUUAAGUCUGAUGUGAAAGCCCCCGGCUCAACCGGGGAGGGUCAUUGGAAACUGGGGAACUUGAGUGCAGAAGAGGAGAGUGGAAUUCCACGUGUAGCGGUGAAAUGCGUAGAGAUGUGGAGGAACACCAGUGGCGAAGGCGACUCUCUGGUCUGUAACUGACGCUGAGGCGCGAAAGCGUGGGGAGCGAACAGGAUUAGAUACCCGGGGUUA
Molecule: ribosomal RNA, 408 nt
Filed under: Bacillus paralicheniformis
Lineage: Bacteria; Bacillati; Bacillota; Bacilli; Caryophanales; Bacillaceae
Description: bacterial SSU rRNA
Rfam family: Bacterial small subunit ribosomal RNA
Source: RNAcentral